Molecule: signal recognition particle RNA, 97 nt
Filed under: Oceanospirillaceae bacterium
Lineage: Bacteria; Pseudomonadati; Pseudomonadota; Gammaproteobacteria; Oceanospirillales; Oceanospirillaceae
Description: signal recognition particle sRNA small type
Rfam family: Bacterial small signal recognition particle RNA
About the family: The signal recognition particle (SRP) is a universally conserved ribonucleoprotein involved in the co-translational targeting of proteins to membranes.
Source: RNAcentral
CUCCGGUCCCCCCGCAACAAUAAGACAUGAACCCCGCCAGGCCCGGAAGGGAGCAACGGUAGUGUCCGACUUGUGUGCCGGGGUGUGGCUGGAGGUC